Molecule: long non-coding RNA, 250 nt
Filed under: Coturnix japonica (Japanese quail)
Lineage: Eukaryota; Metazoa; Chordata; Aves; Galliformes; Phasianidae
Description: lncRNA (ENSCJPG00005003251.1)
Source: RNAcentral
AAUUGGCUUAAGUCGUUUGCAAUCAGUUAAUCUCAAUUAAAUUGGCGUUUUGUUUUAAAAUAAUUUAUUUCAACUAAAUUGGCUUCAAAUUAACUCAAAUUAACUCAAAUUAACUCAAAUUAACUCAAAUUAACUCAAAUUAACUCAAAUUAACUCAAAUUAACUCAAUUUAAUUGGCUUUAUUUUGAAAUUCCAAUGUAUUUUAGCCAAAUUGGCCUUUAUUUAUCCUUGCUUACGCGCCUGGGCUAGC